AUUGAACGCUGGCGGCAGGCCUAACACAUGCAAGUCGGGCGCGCGGCGAGCGGGUGAGUAAUGUAUGGGGAUCUGCCUGAUGGCGGGGGAUCACUACUGGAAACGGUAGCUAAUCCCGCAUACCCUCGGAUGACCCCAUAUGGGAUUAGCGAGUAGGUGAGGUAACGGCUUACCUAGGCGACGAUCCCUAGCUGGUCUGAGAGGAUGAUCAGCCACAGUGGGACUGAGACACGGUCCAGACUCCUACGGGAGGCAGCAGUGGGGAAUAUUGCACAAUGGGCGCAAGCCUGAUGCAGCCAUGCCGCGUGUAUGAAGAAGGCCUUCGGGUUGUAAAGUACUUUCAGUCGGGAGGCGUUACCGACAGAAGAAGCACCGGCUAACUCCGUGCCAGCAGCCGCGGUAAUUC
Molecule: ribosomal RNA, 406 nt
Filed under: uncultured bacterium
Lineage: Bacteria
Description: partial 16S ribosomal RNA
Rfam family: Bacterial small subunit ribosomal RNA
Source: RNAcentral